GACCCGAUGCUGUCAGAGAGCGUGCAUGAAGAAGAAAGUUAAUGGUAUUUCCAUUUAUAUAAGAAGCGCCUAAGAAAUGCCUGUGACGUUCGUGAACUAGUGAUUGUGAAUUCCAAAUUUGAUGCCAACUUUAUGUGUAAAGAAGCUAACUCCUGCCAACAUCGUGGCUGAAUGAACAGCUGGGACUAUGCUUAACCCAUUCCCAGCUUAUAAAAGCCCCAUGGCAGCUGCAGUGAAGCAUCAGAAAAGUAUAGUAAGAAGAAACUGAAUUUGAAGUGGAUUCUUACAAAGGAAAAAGAAAAUCACUAUUAUUAUGUGAUGCAACAAAAUUCAAAUAUGAAAACCAUCUCGGAGGCCGGGCGCGGUGGCUCACGCCUUUAAUCCCAGCACUUUGGGAGGCCGAGGUGGGUGGAUCAUUUGAGGUCAGAAGUUCAAGACCAGCCUGGCCAACACGGUGAAACCCUGUCUCUACUAAAAAUACAAAAAUUAACUGGGCGUGGUGGCACAUGCCUGUAAUCCCAGCUACUCGGGAGGCUGAGGCAGGAGAAUUGCUUGAACCUGGGAGGCGGAGGUUGCAGUGAGCCGAGAUCACGCCAUUGUUCUCCAGCCUGGGCAACAAGAGCAAAACUCUGUCUCAAAAAUAAAAUAAAAAAUUGCUUUAAAAAAUAAAAAU
Molecule: long non-coding RNA, 673 nt
Filed under: Homo sapiens (human)
Lineage: Eukaryota; Metazoa; Chordata; Mammalia; Primates; Hominidae
Description: DLGAP1 antisense RNA 2
Source: RNAcentral